RNAcentral lists this ribosomal RNA (320 nucleotides) under uncultured eukaryote. RNAcentral describes it as "partial 18S ribosomal RNA". It matches the Rfam family "Eukaryotic small subunit ribosomal RNA", at positions 1470 to 1796 of the family's 1831-position model. The record is from RNAcentral.
CCCUUAGAUGUUCUGGGCCGCACGCGUGCUACACUGAGUGGAUCAGCGGGUCAGGUUGCGCGAAAGUGUUUCCUAAUCUUGAAAUCCGCUCGUGAUGGGGAUUGACGGUUGCAAUUUUCCGUCAUGAACGAGGAAUACCUUGUAAGCGCGGGUCAUCAUCCCGCGCUGAAUACGUCCCUGCCCUUUGUACACACCGCCCGUCGCUCCUACCGAUUGAGUGGUCCGGUGAGGCUUUGGGAUUUGCUUUGCUUUCGUUUGUUCGAUGCUCGGCGAAGAACUUGAGUAAACCUUACCGUUUAGAGGAAGGUGAAGUCGUAACA